Molecule: ribosomal RNA, 206 nt
Filed under: uncultured bacterium
Lineage: Bacteria
Description: partial 16S ribosomal RNA
Rfam family: Bacterial small subunit ribosomal RNA
Source: RNAcentral
AGACUGCAGGCUGCAACUCGCCUGCACGAAGUCGGAAUUGCUAGUAAUCGUAGGUCCGCAUACUACGGUGAAUACGUUCCCGGGCCUUGUACACACCGCCCGUCAAACCAUGAGAGUUGGCAACACCCGAAGUCGGUAGUCUAACCGCAAGGAGGACGCCGCCGAAGGUGGGGUUGAUGAUUAGGGUUAAGUCGUAACAAGGUACC